This 595-nucleotide ribosomal RNA is filed under the name Pseudopaludicola sp. IIBP834. RNAcentral describes it as "partial 16S ribosomal RNA". It matches the Rfam family "Bacterial large subunit ribosomal RNA", at positions 1806 to 2613 of the family's 2925-position model. Lineage: Eukaryota; Metazoa; Chordata; Amphibia; Anura; Leptodactylidae. The record is from RNAcentral.
ACCAAAAACAUCGCCUCUUGAACUAAUAUAAGAGGUCCAGCCUGCCCAGUGACUUUUGUUUAACGGCCGCGGUAUCCUAACCGUGCGAAGGUAGCGUAAUCACUUGUUCUUUAAAUAAGGACUAGUAUGAAUGGCAUCACGAGGGUUAUACUGUCUCCUCUUUCUAAUCAGUGAAACUAAUCUCCCCGUGAAGAAGCGGGGGUAAUAAUAUAAGACGAGAAGACCCUAUGGAGCUUUAAACUAAACAACACUUGCUUUACCAAAUUUUAAAUUUCAGAAGAAAAACUCAUUUAACAAGAUGAUUGUAAGUUUUAGGUUGGGGUGACCAUGGAGUAAAAAUUAACCUCCAUGCUGGAAUAACAUUUAAUGUUUUAUCCACGAGCUACUGCUCUAAGCAUCAACAUAUUGACAUCUAUUGACCCAAUUAUUGAUCAACGAACCAAGUUACCCUAGGGAUAACAGCGCAAUCCACUUCAAGAGCUCAUAUCGACAAGUGGGUUUACGACCUCGAUGUUGGAUCAGGGUAUCCCAGUGGUGCAGCCGCUACUAAAGGUUCGUUUGUUCAACGAUUAAAACCCUACGUGAUCUGAGUUCA